This 1201-nucleotide long non-coding RNA is filed under the name Calidris pygmaea (Spoon-billed sandpiper). RNAcentral's name for it is "lncRNA (ENSCPGG00000019095.1)". The record is from RNAcentral. Lineage: Eukaryota; Metazoa; Chordata; Aves; Charadriiformes; Scolopacidae.
AUGCUGGGACACAAAAGGAAUGAAAGUGUUUCUAGGUGCUUCAAGAGGACUUCUGAAAUACUCAUAUCAGAAGGUAUAAAUUUGUCACAUGCAUGUUUUCUCUGCAAGUUGAAACAAGCUCUGGAAGUCUCCUUUGUGAAGUGCAUGAUCAUGUCAACCCAGCAGCUCACACCUGCUCCAGCCCCUCAUUCCCAGGAGCAGAGGUCAGUGCCUGUGCUUUUCCUGACGCUGUUUCUGGGAGCAGGAAGCAACAAGCAAUCAUGCACCAAUUCCCAGUGUGAUUUUGCCUUCUAGAACAAGGAAGAUUGGGUGGUCAUGGAGUAACUAACUUGUUUCCUGUGGAACACCCUUUCCUUUCUUUGUGGAUGCAGCCAAACAGCUGGACUCUGCAGUUAUCUCCAAAACUGUAGGGCCUCGCACGCCUGAUUGGGGAAGACCUUCAUGAAUACUCUGGCUGGUCAACAGCAAGCCCAGCUGCCGCAACUAGGAAGCGGGUACAAGCAGCAAGAGAAAAGGGAAAGUGAUACUUGCUGUCUCUGGAAACAAAGCCAUCAGGACUACUUGAAGAUACCAGCUGUAAAGAGCAUCACCCAAUGCCACCAGGUCUACUGGGAAUACUGCUUGUGACCAUGUGUCAGAUGGUUAUUCCGUAUAUAUAUAUAUAUAUUUGUAUGCUAUUUCAACUAUAAAUUUUGGGUUCCAUGUUUUCAAAAUGCAACAACUUUCACCAGCUAGAUGACAAUCUGUUGUGUGAACACUUGUAUAUGCCCUUUAGUUUUUACACACUGUAAGCUCAGAUGAUCAUCUGAUACACACAUUUCAUCAAGAUCACUGAUCUGUAUUUAUCUUUUUAUCUCUGUAAAUUUUAACUGGCUACAUAAGAGUCUUCAAAUGCAAGGUCAAACCCAAAUUGCUCUUUUAACUUCCAUUGCUUUUAUUAGGUAUUUCUACUGAGCAUUUGCUGCACAGAGCUAUAUAGUAUCUUAUCUCGUAUGAACAGUUCUGAUCCUAAUAACUGAGCCUGAAAGUUGCUGAACUCAGUGCAUGAGUGAGCAAUUACGUGCUUUGUAUCUCAGGACUAACAUGCAGAUACUCAUACACAAGGCCUGCAGGUUUAAUUCUGGCUUUCAGUUGCACUUCAGGAAAAAUAUGUUUCCAGGAGCAGCAAUAAAAAAGCAAACAGAAUCUAGUACCUGUAACA